AAUACGAUUUUGGUUCGAGUGAUUCUAGUUCACUUUGAGAAUGAGCGCAGCUUGAGCAAGUUGAAGACACAUUCCACUGACUUCUUUAUUGGCGAUGUGAUUUUAAAUUAGACUGUCUCCGUAUAGUUAUUAAUAGCAUUCAUUUUUAUGAGGUAGCACUAGCCAACACGUAGCCUACUUAAUGCACUCCAGACUGUGUAAAUUCAGUCACCACAAAAAGAGCGACAAGUUGGUAAUUAACAGCAUCCAUCCGUAAAGGAUGCUGACGGAAUCUACAGUCUGCUGGUGCACCGUACAAAAUAUACAGGAGCACAUACCUACACAGUUUGGCCCAAAUGCUGAAAAGCUCCACAUCUUUCGGGAAACGGAAGAACUUGCAGGUAUCCCUUUCGGAUUGGUGGUUGCAGUCGGGAACGAAACACUGACCCAUGGUGCUGUGCGUUUCGAGAUUUGAAAUGCAGUUGCAACUACAGUGUGUAACCAGCGAAAGCAGCAAACGUUUUGUGUAGAUCCGUGGUGUUCGUUACCUGGCGACGUGACGUCACUCUGUAUCAUUGAGAUUUUUGGGGAUUCUGUUCGCGCUUCUCUGAAUAAACUGCCGUCUCGCACACUAUCUUGGUAUUGAA
Long non-coding RNA from Anguilla anguilla (European eel), 626 nucleotides. RefSeq lists it as uncharacterized. The record is from RefSeq and is a predicted model, not a curated record. NCBI's taxonomy places the organism in Eukaryota, Metazoa, Chordata, Actinopteri, Anguilliformes, Anguillidae. The transcript has 2 exons.